This 427-nucleotide ribosomal RNA is filed under the name uncultured bacterium. Its description in RNAcentral is "bacterial SSU rRNA". It matches the Rfam family "Bacterial small subunit ribosomal RNA", at positions 377 to 796 of the family's 1533-position model. The record is from RNAcentral.
GAAAGCCUGACGGAGCGACGCCGCGUGAACGAAGAAGGCCGUGAGGUUGUAAAGUUCUUUUCGGGAGGGGGAAUGACCGUGGCAGGGAAUGGCCGCGGGAUGACGUGAAUCCCGGAAUAAGCCCCGGCUAACUACGUGCCAGCAGCCGCGGUAACACGUAGGGGGCGAGCGUUGUUAGGAAUCAUUGGGCGUAAAGGGCGUGCAGGCGGCACUGCAAGUCCGGCGUGAAAGACCCCGGCCCAACCGGGGGGGUGCGCUGGAAACUGCGGUGCUUGAGUACAGGAGGGGAUGCCGGAAUUCCAGGUGUAGGGGUGAAAUCUGUAGAUAUCUGGAAGAACACCGAUGGCGAAGGCAGGCAUCUGGCCAUGUACUGACGCUGAGACGCGAAGGUGCGGGGAGCAAACAGGUUUAGAUACCCUGGUAGUCC